Molecule: small RNA, 114 nt
Filed under: Chrysemys picta bellii (western painted turtle)
Lineage: Eukaryota; Metazoa; Chordata; Testudines; Emydidae
Description: TUC338 (ENSCPBG00000011983.1)
Source: RNAcentral
UUCUAUGUGUCCAUGGGACAGGUACAGCUUGAUAGUAGCAGUGUGAGCCUCCCCAAUGUUGUCCUCCAGUGUGCUUCAACCCUGCCCUGGAAGGAUUCAUUUUAGACUUGAGAA